RNAcentral lists this ribosomal RNA (421 nucleotides) under uncultured bacterium. Its description in RNAcentral is "partial 16S ribosomal RNA". It matches the Rfam family "Bacterial small subunit ribosomal RNA", at positions 360 to 773 of the family's 1533-position model. The record is from RNAcentral.
AAUAUUGGUCAAUGGGGGCAACCCUGAUCCAGCCAUGCCGCGUGUGUGAAGAAGGUCUUCGUAUUGUAAAGCACUUUAAGUUGGGAGGAAGGGCUUUAGGUUAAUACCCUGAAGAUUUGACGUGACCAACAGAAUUAGUAUCUGCUAACUCGGAGCUAGCAGCCGCGGUAAUACAGAGGGUGCAAGCGUUAAUCGGAAUUACUGGGCGUAAAGCGCGCGUAGGUGGUUCAGUAAGAUGGGUGUGAAAUCCCCGGGCUUAACCUGGGAACUGCUUUCAUAACUGCUGAGCUAGAGUACGGUAGAGGGUAGUGGAAUUUCCUGUGUAGCGGUGAAAUGCGUAGAUAUAGGAAGGAACACCAGUGGCGAAGGCGACUACCUGGACUGAUACUGACACUGAGGUGCGAAAGCGUGGGGAGCAAAC